CAGCCGCCGCGGUAAUACCGGCGGCCCGAGUGGCGGCCGUGUUUAUUGGGCCUAAAGGGUCCGUAGCCGGCCCCGUAAGUCUCCCGGGAAAUCGGGCGGCUCAACCGUCCGCUUCCGGGAGAUACUACCGGGCUAGGGGGCGGGAGAGGCCGAGGGUACUCCCGGGGUAGGGGCGAAAUCCGUUAAUCCCGGGAGGACCACCCGUGGCGAAGGCGCUCGGCUGGAACGCGCCCGACGGUGAGGGGCGAAAGCCGGGGGAGCGAACCGGAUUAGAUACCCGGGUAGUCCCGGCUGUAAACGAUGCGGGCUAGCUGUUGGGUGGGCUUAGAGCCCACCCAGUGGCGCAGGGAAGCCGUUAAGCCCGCCGCCUGGGGAGUACGGCCGCAAGGCUGAAACUUAAAGGAAUUGGCGGG
Molecule: ribosomal RNA, 413 nt
Filed under: uncultured microorganism
Description: bacterial SSU rRNA
Rfam family: Archaeal small subunit ribosomal RNA
Source: RNAcentral